GUGCCUAACACAUGCAAGUCGAACGAGAAAGUGGAGCAAUCCAUGAGUAAAGUGGCGACCGGGUGAGUAACACGUGACUAACCUACCUCCGAGUGGGGAAUAACUCCGGGAAACCGGGGCUAAUACCGCAUAACAUCGCAAGAUCAAAGCAGCAAUGCGCUGGGAGAGGGGGUCGCGGCUGAUUAGCUGGUUGGCGGGGUAACGGCCCACCAAGGCGAAGAUCGGUAUCCGGCCUGAGAGGGCGCACGGACACACUGGAACUGAAACACGGUCCAG
This 276-nucleotide ribosomal RNA is filed under the name uncultured bacterium. RNAcentral describes it as "partial 16S ribosomal RNA". It matches the Rfam family "Bacterial small subunit ribosomal RNA", at positions 44 to 334 of the family's 1533-position model. The record is from RNAcentral.